RNAcentral lists this transfer RNA (87 nucleotides) under Fidelibacterota bacterium. RNAcentral's name for it is "tRNA-Leu". It matches the Rfam family "tRNA". From Rfam's summary of the family: Transfer RNA (tRNA) molecules are approximately 80 nucleotides in length. The record is from RNAcentral. Lineage: Bacteria; Pseudomonadati; Fidelibacterota.
GCCGGGGUGGCGGAAUUGGUAGACGCGCCUGACUCAAAAUCUGGUGGGUGUAAGCCCGUGGGGGUUCGAGUCUCUCCCUCGGUACUA